Molecule: long non-coding RNA, 992 nt
Filed under: Numida meleagris (helmeted guineafowl)
Lineage: Eukaryota; Metazoa; Chordata; Aves; Galliformes; Numididae
Description: lncRNA (ENSNMEG00000002260.1)
Source: RNAcentral
GACCCACACCAAGUCUCUAGAUCCCUUGCCCUUUUGGGCUAUGUGGAGGAGAAGAUCUGAUUGACGGAAUUACUUCUUCUGGUCCAGGUUCCUGGUUCACCAUGGAGGAUGCAAUGAGGAAACCAGUGCAUUCGAAGCCACCCGUGUCACUGGGUAUGUACAGGAGCAUGCACAAGAAGGACUACACGUGGCAGGAAGAGAUCAAACCACCCACUGAGGAGGACAUUCAGAAGCUAAGAGCCAACGAGUUUGCCGUGCCUCAGGAGCCGCGGGCGAUGACGUACUAUGACAAAGCUGUCGGGGAAGGGAGAGAAGUCACACAAAGUGAGAAGCAAGAAGGCAUCGCCCUCAGUCCCAGAGUGCUGCAGCAGGCUUAUGAAGAGCAGAGAAAGCACUUCAGUUCUGACCUCCCCCUUGCAGAAAGCCAUGCACCAAGGUGCUACUCCACCCCUGAACUGACAGCAAGCCAGGCAGAGAGACUGGAGAGGCCAUGGACUCUCAGUGGGCUGGAAAAGGAUCUGUCUUCUUCCCAGCACCUUCAGGCUGCUGCUGGUGGCCCGAGUGCAGCAGGGAUGUUGCUGUAUAGGCAAAAGCUGGAUCCAACCUUUGGUACCUACCAGCACUUCAUGCUGGAGACAGGCCAGGCCCUGCAACACGAGGCUCAGCAGAACAAGAACAUGGCCCUGCGCUCCUCGGUUUUGGUGGAAGACUGCUUUAACCUUGACCGGAGCUCUACCUACAGCACCGAUUUCCAGCGCCAGCCUGCAGCCUACAGUGGAUGCUGUACAGCAAAUAAGAAUGUGUCUCACGUUUUCACUGAAGAUCAGCACUUCCACCAGAACCGCUGGGUAUCUGAGUACAAGGACAACUACAGCAUUCACUUGCACAGGCUGAAUUGGGCAUCUCAAGGCCCCGCUGCAGAGCUCCACUCUGCCUUGAAGCCCCAAGGGCCGUCCUCCCAGAGUGAGGUUGCACCAGACACAGCCCAGUGA